RNAcentral lists this long non-coding RNA (34921 nucleotides) under Triticum aestivum (bread wheat). Its description in RNAcentral is "long non-coding RNA (TAES_LNC006179)". The stretch from base 24088 to 24202 matches the Rfam family "MIR1120/MIR1122 microRNA precursor family". The record is from RNAcentral. Lineage: Eukaryota; Viridiplantae; Streptophyta; Magnoliopsida; Poales; Poaceae.
UUUUCUUUUGUUGGUAUGUGAAGCUAGGUGGUAUAAAUUUAGCAACAAUAUAAUUAGCAUAAUCAGCAUACCAUGGAGUACUACGAGAAGUACUUAUAACAUUUAAUUGUUCAUCAGGAAAGCUAUCAUUAAUAGGUAGUGGGUCAUCAAGAAUAUUUUCUAACCUAGACAGGUUGUCUGCAACGGGGUUCUCAGCUCCCUUUCUAUCAACAAUAUGCAAAUCAAAUUCUUGUAGCAAGAGAACCCCUCUAAUUAGUCUAGGUUUAGCAUCUUUCUUUUCCAUAAGAUAUUUAAUAUCAGCAUGAUCUGUUUGAAUAGUUACUUUAGAAUCAACAAUAUAAGAUCUGAACUUAUCACAAGCAAAUACAACUGCUAAGAGUUCUUUUUCAGUAGUAGCAUAAUUUCUUUGAGCAUUGUCUAGAGUCUUACUAGCAUAAUGAAUAACAUUUAAUUUCUUAUCAACUCUUUGCCCUAGACCAGCACUAGCAUCACACAUAAUUUCAAAGGGUAGGUUCCAAUCAGGUGGCUGAACAACAGGUGCAGAGACUAAUGCUUUCUUAAGUAUUUCAAUGCUUCUACACAAUCAUCAUCAAAGACAAAUGGUAUAUUUUUGGCAAUAAAUUAGUCAGAGGCCGAGAAAUUUUUGAGAAGUCCUUAAUGAACCUCCUAUAAAAUCCAGCGUGACCAAGGAAACUUCUUAUACCUUUGAUGUCCUUGGGACAUGACAUCUUUUCAGUAGCAUCAACCUUGGCUUUAUCAACUUCAAUACCUCUUUCAGAAACUUUGUGCCCCAAGACAAUACCUUCAUUAACCAUAAAGUGGCACUUUUCCCAAUUCAAGACAAGAUUAGUUUCUUCACAUCUCUGCAAAACUCGAUCAAGAUUGCUCAAGCAAUCAUCAAAAGAGGAACCAUAGACGGAAAAGUCGUCCAUGAAAACCUCACAAAUCUUUUCACAAAAGUCAAGAGAAUAUAGCCAUCAUGCAUCUUUGAAAGGUAGCAGGUGCAUUACAUAAACCAAAAGGCAUACGUCUAUAAGCAAAAGUACCAAAAGGGCAUGUAAAAGUAGUCUUUGAUUGAUCUCUAGCCGACAUAGGUAUUUGAGAGAAACCAGAAUAACCAUCUAGAAAGAAAUAGUGUGUAUGUUUGCAUAAUCUUUCUAGCAUUUGAUCAAUAAAAGGUAAGGAGUAAUGAUCUUUCUUAGUAGCUUUAUUUAAUUUGCGGAAAUCAAUUACCAUCCUAUAACCUGUGAUAAUUAUUUGUGGAAUCAAUUCAUCUUUAUCAUUAGGAACAACAGUAAUACCUCCCUUCUUAGGGACACAAUGGACAGGACUUACCCACUCACUAUCAGCAACGGGAUAGAUUAUACCUGCCUCCAAAAGCUUUAGUGUUUCUUUUCUUACCACUUCUUUCAUUUUAGGAUUCAGACGUCGUUGAGGAUCACGAACUGGUUUGGCAUCUGCUUCCAAAUUUAUUUUAUGUUGACAUAGAGUGGGACUAAUGCCCUUAAGAUCAUCAAGAGUGUAUCCAAUAGCAGCACGAUGCUUCUUCAGAGUUUUCAAUAAUCUUUCUUCUUCAUGCUCUGAAAGGUUAGCACUAAUAAUAACAGGAUAUAUCUUCUUUUUAUCAAGAUAAGCAUAUUUAAGAUUAUCAGGCAACGGUUUAAGCUCAAACACGGGAUCACCCUUGGGUGGAGGAGGAUCCCCUAAAAUUUCAACAGGCAAGUUGUGAUGCAGAAUAGGUUCCUGUUUAAAGAAUACUUCAUCUAUUUCCCUUCUUUCAUUCAUGAACAUAUCAUUUUCAUGGUCUAGCAAAUAAUGUUCUAAAGGAUCACUAGGAGGUACGGCAAUAGAAGCAAGACCAAUAAUUUCAUCCUUACUAGGUAAUUCUUCCUCACGAUGUUGUUUACUAAAUUUAGAGAAAUUAAACUCAUGAACCAUAUCAUCCAAACCAACAGUAACAAUAUUCUUAGUGGAGUCUAUGGUAGCAUUGACAGUAUUUAAAAAGGGUCUACCAAAUAUAAUUGGACAAAAGCUAUCUUGCGGAGAAGUAAGAACAAGAAAAUUAGCAGGAUAUUUAGUUUUCCCACACAAGACUUCAACAUCUCUAACAAUUCCAAUUGGUGCAAUAGUAUCUCUAUUAGCAAGUUUAAUAGUAACAUCAAUGUCUUCUAACUCAACAGGUGCAAUUUCAUUCUUAAUUUCUUUGUAUAAGUCAUGAGGUAUAACACUAGCACUAACACCCAUAUCACAUAAGCCAUGAUAACAAUGAUCUCCUAUUUUAACAGAAAUAACAUGCACGCCUACCACAGGUCUAUGUUUAUCCUUAUCACAAGGUUUAGCAAUUCUAGCAGUUUCACCUUCGAACUGAAUAACAUGCCCAUCAAUAUUAUCAGACAAGAGAUCUUUAACAAUAGAAAUAUUAGGUUCUACUUUAACUUGCUCAGGAGGUGUAUAAGUUCUAAUAUUGCUUUUACGAACAACAAUUGAAGCUUUAGCAUGAUCCUUUAUUCUAACAGGGAAAGAUGGUUUCUCAAUAUAAGAAGUAGGAACAAUAGGAUCAUUAUAAGUGAUAGUCUUUUCUUCAACUUUAAUAGGUGCAGCUACUUUUACUUCUAUGGGAGGAUGAUAUUUAAACCACUUCUCCUUAGGGAGAUCAACAUAAGUGGCAAAAGAUUCACAGAAAGAAGCUACUAUCUCAGAGUCAAGUCCAUAUUUAGUGCUAAACUUACGGAAAAUAUCGGUAUCCAUAAAAGAUUUAACACAAUCAAACUUAGGUGUCAUACCUGACUCUUUACCUUCAUCGAGGUCCCAAUCUUCAGAGUUGCGUUUAAUUCUAUCCAAUAAAUUCCAUCUGAAUUCAGUAGUCUUCAUCAUAAAAGAGCCAGCACAAGAAGUAUCGAGCAUGGUGCGAUUGUUUUCAGAAAGCCAAGCAUAAAAACUUUGCAUAAUUAUUUCUCUCGAGAGCUCAUGAUUGGGGCAUGAAUAUAACAUUGAUUUAAGCCUCCCCCAAGCUUGAGCGAUGCUUUCUCCUUCGCGAGGCCAGAAAUUAUAUAUAUAAUUGCGAUCAUGAUGAACAAGAUGCAUAGGGUAAUACUUCUGAUGAAAUUCCAGCUCCAAUCUUUUAUAGUCCCAUGAUCUCAUAUCAUCACAUAGCCUAUACCAUAUCAAUGCGUAUCCCUUCAAAGAUAAACGGAAGACCUUCUUCUUAGCAACAUCAUCGGGUAUACCUGCAAGCUUAAAUAAUCCACAAACUUCAUCCACAUAUAUUAAGUGCUCAUCAGGAUGCUUUGUUCCAUCUCCUGUAAAAGGAUUAGCUAGCAGUUUUUCUAUCAUACCCGAAGGAUACUCAUAAGGAAUUUCAUUUUCAAUAGGUUCAGUAGGUUGAGGAGCAACUCUUUUCUCUACUGGUCGGGGUGAAGAUACCCCGAACAAGCCCCUCAGAGAAUUACUUUCCAUAGUAACAAGUGACAGUAAAUUUCAGCACACUAUAUAAAUUUUUCCUUACCAAAUUCCACCUACCAAAGGCGCUACACUCCCCGGCAACGGCGCCAGAAAAGAGUCUUGAUGACCCACAAGUAUAGGGGAUCUAUCGUAGUCCUUUCGAUAAGUAAGAGUGUCGAACCCAACGAGGAGCAGAAGGAAAUUAUAAGCGGUUUUCAGCAAGGUAUUCUCUGUAAGUACUGAAAUAAGUGGUAACAGAUAGUUUUGUGAUAGGAUAAAUUGUAACGAGCAACAAGUAACAAAAGUAAAUAAAGUGCAGCAAGGUGGCCCAGUCCUUUUGUAGCAAAGGACAAGCCGGAACAAACUCUUAUAAUAGGAAAAGCGCUCCCGAGGACACAUGGGAAUAUCGUCAAGCUAGUUUUCAUCAUGUUCAUAUGAUUCGCGUUCGAUACUUUGAUAAUUUGAUAUGUGGGUGGACCGGUGCUUGGUUGAUGUUCUUACUUGAACAAGCAUCCCACUUAUGAUUAACCUCUAUUGCAAGCAUCCGCAACUACAACAAAAGUAUUAAGGUAAACCUAACCAUAGCAUGAAACAUAUGGAUCCAAAUCAGCCCCUUACAAAGCAACACAUAAACUAGGGUUUAAGCUUCUGUCACUCUAGCAACCCAUCAUCUACUUAUUACUUCCCAAUGCCUUCCUCUAGGCCCAAAUAAUGGUGAAGUGUUAUGUAGUCGACAUUCACAUAACACCACUGGAGGCUAGACAACAUACAUCUUAUCAAAAUAUCAAACGAAUACCAAAUUCACAUGACUACUCAUAGCAAGACUUCUCCCUUGUCCUCACGAACGAACGUAAUUACUCACAAAGCAUAUUCAUGUUCAUAAUCAGAGGGGUAAUAAUAUUCAUAUAGGAUCUGAACAUAUGAUCUUCCACCAAAUAAACCAACUAGCAUCAACUACAAGGAGUAAUCAACACUACUAGCAACCUACUAGCACCAAUCCCGGACUUUGAGACAAGGAUUGGAUACAAGAGAUGAACUAGGGUUUGGAGAUGAGAUGGUGCUGGUGAAGAUGUUGAUGGAGAUUGCCCUCUCCUGAUGAGAGGAGCGUUGGUGAUGACGAUGGUGAUGAUUUCCCCCUCCCGGAGGGAAGUUUCCCCGGCAGAACAGCUCUGCCGGAGCUCUAGAUUGGAUCCGCCAAGGUUCCUCCUCGUGGCGGCGGAGUCUCGUCCCGAAAAGUUCCUCUCUAUUUUUUUCUCAUCGAGAGACCUCAUAUAGGAGAAAAUGGGCAUCGGAGAGCCACCAGGGGGCCCACGAGGUAGGGGGCGCGCCCUAGGGGGGGCGCCCCCCACCCUCGUGAGAAGGGUGUGGGCCCACUGCCCUUCAUCUUUGGCGUGUAUUUUUCUUUAUUUCUUUUAAGACGUUCCGUGGAGUUUCAGGACUUUUGGAGUUGCGUAGAAUAGGUCUCUAAUAUUUGCUGCCUUUCCAGACCAGAAUUCCAGUUGCCGGCAUUCUCCCUCUUUAUGUAAACCUUGUAAAAUAAGAGAAAAUAGCCAUAAGUAUUGUGACAUAAAGUGAAUAACAGCCCAUAAUGCGAUAAAUAUCGAUAUAAAAGCAUGAUGCAAAAUGGACGUAUCACCUACGCACACGCAAGAUCAUGGUGAUGCAUAGCAACGAGAGGGGAGAGUGUUGUCCACGUACCCUCGUAGACCAAAAACGGAAGCGUUAGCACAACACGGUUGAUGUAGUCGUACGUCUUCACGAUCCGACCGAUCAAGUACCGAACGCACGGCACCUCCGAGUUCAGCACACGUUCAGCCCGAUGACGUCCCUCGAACUCCGAUCCAGCCGAGUGUUGAGGGAGUGUUUCGUCAGCACGACGGCGUGGUGACGAUGAUGAUGUUCUACCGACGCAGGGCUUCGCCUAAGCACCGCUACAGUAUUAUCGAGGUGGAGUAUGGUGGAGGGGGGCACCACACACGGCUAAAAGAUCAACAUAUCAAUUGUUGUGUCUAUGGGGUGCCCCCUGGCCACGUAUAUAAAGGAGUGGAGGAGGGGAGGGGCCGGCCCUCUCUAUGGCGCGCCCUAGGGGAGUCCUACUCCCACCAGGAGAAGGAUUCCCCUUUUCCUAGUAGAACUAGGAGCCCUUCCAAGUAGUAGGAGUAGGAGAGAAGGAAAGGGAAAAGAGAAGAGAAGGAAGGAGGGGUCGCAGCCCUCCCCCUUAGUCCAAUUCGGACUAGGCCUUGGGGGCGUGCAGCCUGCCUCUCUCUCUUUCCCCUAACCCAAUAAGGCCCAUACACUCCCCGGCGAAUUCCCGUAACUCCCCGGUACUCCGAUAAAUACCCGAAUCACUCGGAACCUUUCCGAUGUCUGAAUAUAGUCGUCCAAUAUAUCGAUCUUUACGUAUCGACCAUUUUGAGACUUCUCGUCAUGUCCCCGAUCUCAUCCGGGACUCCAAACUACCUUCGGUACAUCGAAACACAUAAACUCAUAAUAUAACCGUCAUCGAACUUUAAGCGUGCGGACCCUACGAGUUCGAGAACUAUGUAGACAUGACCGAGACACGUCUCCAGUCAAUAACCAAUAGCGGAACCUGGAUGCUCAUAUUGACUCCCACAUAUUCUACGAAGAUCUUUAUCGGUCAAACCACAUAACAACAUACGUUGUUCCCUUUGUCAUCGGUAUGUUACUUGCCUGAGAUUCGAUCUUCGGUAUCUCAAUACCUAGUUCAAUCUCGUUACCGGCAAGUCUCUUUACUCGUUCCGUAAUACAUCAUCCCGCAACUAACUCAUUAGUUGCAAUGCUUGCAAGGCUUAAGUGAUGUGUAUUACUGAGUGGGCCCAAAGAUACCUCUCCAACAAUCGGAGUGACAAAUCCUAAUCUCGAAAUACGCCAACCCAACAAGUACCUUCGAAGACACCUUUACGUUGUGACGUUUGGUAGUACACAAAGUGUUCCUCCGGUAAACGGGAGUUGCAUAAUCUCAUAGUCAUAGGAACAUGAUAAGUCAUGAAGAAAGCUAUAGCAACAAACUAAACGAUCAAGUGCUAAGCUAACGGAAUGGGUCAAGUCAAUCACAUCAUUCUCCUAAUGAUGUGAUCCCGUUAAUCAGAUGACAACUCUUUGUCUAUGGCUAGGAAACAUAACCAUCUUUGAUCAAUGAGCUAGUCAAGUAGAGGCAUACUAGUGACACUCUGUUUGUCUAUGUAUUCACACAUGUAUCAUGUUUCCGAUUAAUAUAAUUCUAGCAUGAAUAGUAAACAUUUAUCAUGAUAUAAGGAAAUAAAUAAUAACUUUAUUAUUGCCUCUAGGGCAUAUUUCCUUCACCUCCCUCAUCCCUCAUAUUUUAAAACUGGACAAGUUUAACCCAAACCCGUAAAGAAAGUUGUAUUAGGCUGGCAUGUCCUCGGGUUUGACUAAGCCCAAUUCUUUUCAGCUUUUGAUUCUCGAGAAUCAACUUUUGGGAAACUUCUCACAAAAUCAACCAUCGAGUUCUUUUCUGAGAUUGUGGUGGUCUGAGAUUACGGGAUGAGUUUGUGUGCUGACAUGUCUAUAAUGUCCUUAAACUAAAACUGGGUGUUGAAACGAUAGCAUUCAAAUUAGCACAUAGUAGAAGCAAAAAAGAACCAUUCAUAGUUGCAUUGAGUAAUCACAGUUUUUUUAACCAAGUCAUCUUCCCUUUACAGUUGCAUUGAGCAUUUAUAGUAGUAAAAAGAAAAUUACAUGAUCGGUCCAUUCAUCCAUCCAUCUACGAAAAACCUAGCACCAUUGAUCCAUCCAUCAAGCAAAUCAUGUACUAAGCAUCUACAUACAUCCCGUAAAAAAAGCAUCUACAUAUAUUCAUUUUAUCCAACUUUCAUGUACAAGAGGGGAACUAGAAUAGAGAGAUGAACAAACACCGAAGGAGGAGAGGCUCACCAGGCAGCGGUGCAAGAGAGUUGUGGCCGCGGGAUGAGCUCUUCCACCGCUGGGAUUGGAUGAUUUACCCCACUUUAUAAGGGAUUGCAUGAUUUGCCCCAGGGUUGUUUCAAUUACCAGUGGCUCCGAUCCCACCCGGCAGCCUCUCAGGAGGGCAAAUUAUCAAAUGGGGAAGUAAAGUGGGGCCAAAGAUUUAAUUUCUCGAAAAUCGAGCGAGGGGAGACCGAUCGAGCCAACCCAAUCGUUUUCUCGGGCGGAAGGGCAUUUUGCCCGUAAUUUUGCCUUUAAACAAAGGGUAUGCCCUAAAAAUUAAAAUGUUUUCUUUUGAGGGAGAUCCAAAAUCGACCCAAAACGAUGCUUCUAAGUUGCACUGUCGAUUGUGGUUCGAUUUUCAUAAUUCUACAUAAUCAAAUCAAGUUCUUUUAAGCUUCUGAUUUUCCAGACCCUGAUUCUUCAUAAUCAGGUCAAAAGAACUGGGCCUAAGAACAUCUCAAGUUACUGCCAUCCCAUCUCAACUCAUCUCAUUUCUCUGGAUGCAUAAGCAGCAUUUUGUCGAACAUCUUGUGUGCGUUCGGCCUCCACGCCGCCGGCGUAACACCGAGCUCAAGUCCGGUCACCUUGCGCUGGUGGCCAAGCGCACUACACCAGUUCGCACCACACACGCCGCCACUCAUCGUCGACAAGCGGCAGGGCAUCAAUGAACGAGCCGAAUGAGGUGGUAGACGGCGCAUACGAGCAGGAGAAUUGUUCAGCUCCUGAGCGAGGCAUCGCGUAGGCGGCGCGUGUCGUGGCGGCGCCCGCGCGUCCAGGCCCGUCGGGAGCAGCAGGCCGGCGUUGCUGCGCAUGACGUACGCGCUGUGCUGCAUGCUCCCGCGUCGGCUACUGCAAUGGCCCGAAGCGUGUGGCGGCGUGCCGAUCGACCAACGUCAUGUCGCCGCCGAGGAGGGCCACCAGGAUGCGCACAUCGCUGGCGGCCACGGCCAGCUCGCCGACGAUGAGGCAAGUGUGAUUACCCCCGGGAAAUGCAUGCCAGCUGUUCGAUAAAAUGACUACAAUAAAGUUUCAAUACCAGCCCAAUACCGCUCCAUUUUCUGGUUCUGGACGAAACAUGUCUGAUUUUGAAACACAAGGGACCAAAUGUCGACGGAAAAAAGAUGAGGGAUCCAAUGUCUACUUGUAAACUUGAGGGACCAACAAUAUACACUUUUCUCAAAACAAAACAGAUAUGAAACUCAAACAAAUAUUCAUGUUUGUCUAGAUCAUGUGCAAGAAGGAUAUAUAUAGACACACACACAAGCAUGCAUAGAGAGGUGUUCUUCAGUUCUUGCAUAUUAACUGAGAUUCAUUUUUGCGCUUGCAGCAUAGAACGAAGACAAGUUGCGACUUCAGUGAAUGAAGGUCUUCGCUCAGGCUCAGUUGACCAGCAUUGCUCCAUGAGUUUCCUCCAUUCCGGGUUACAUGAAGUGGGCACUGGCGGCCUCAGUGUGUCACUCAAAAUACCCCCUGCACACUCCCAUUGGAAACUAAUGUUUAAUAAUUUACUCAAGAAGAGCGAAGGUAUGUUUUCGGUUAAAUUAGCAUAUAAAUUUACCACCUGGUUCCCUGAACUUGAGAAUUACACACCCAGGCACCUAAACUUGUAUAAAUGAAUAUAUUCAACUACCUAGGUGACUAGUAGCAACUAUAUAUGAUUUUGCUAUAACUUACUGUUUGGCUUUGUGUAGAUCAUGUGAAAUUAACGAAUAAUGAUGUUCUUUUGUUUAAAUGAAGUUAACAUAGAUCCUGCAAACAUUCUCGCCUUUCAUGACCUUUCUUUUCAAGAAGAUCUCAAGAUUUAGCUUAAAUAAGUUGUCAACAACUGCUAUUUAAGUAGUUUCAGCUUAUCCCUACUCACAAGUAUAUGAUACUCAUGUUUAAGGACUUAAAUGUGCGGUUCCCAAGUUUAGGACCCAAGUGGUAUAAUUGCAGAACCAUGGAAUUCAGAAGAUGAGAUUACCACUACAGCCUACGGAUGGAGGAUCAUACUGUUUCAUACCUAUAACUCCUCCAUAGUGCAUGCCAUCAUAUGGAUCCUCACCAGUGAGAAUUUCCCACAUCACAACGCCAAAAGAAUAGACAUCGACCUGUGUUACCAUAAAAUUGGCAUAUUUGAGAAUACAAAAGAGAAGAACAUGUCAGGCCUAAGUAUAUUCUAGAAAUUUUACAAUCUUUUUGUCAGUGUGUGUUAAAUUCUGCAAGUUUUUUUUUUUCAUGAAUCAAAUAGGAGGAAUGCUCUAGUUCAUGUUUAAAGUGAAUUUUCAUUAACCGUUAUCCCCUCUAUAUCACAAAUAAGUAACUUUUUGGGCAUGCUUUCAGUCAAACUUUUAAAACUUUGGCUGCAAAUAUCAUUUUAAUUGCUAUGUUUAAUUUUUUUAAAUCAUAUGUAUAGAUCUUUCAGAAAGCAUUUCUAGAAUAUCAUGUUUUUCAGUCUUGUACAUAUAUUCCUACUAUAGAUUAGUGAUCAAAGUUAUAUCUCAAAGACCGUGUCAGUAUCUAAAAAGUCACUUGUUUGUGAUAUGAAGAGAGUAUAUAGCACUCCCAGUGAGCAGGUCAAAUAUCUUCAGCAUCAUGCCACAGUUUGAACAAUGUUAUACAUUCAUAUAACUGAUAAGUAUGUCGUAUAACCUUUGUGCAUGAAUGUCAAGUGAAAUUGUGAAACAAACACAAUGCUAUAAUUUGGGUUCUUCGUAAUUUGUAGCACCUUCACACUUCCAAGUCAUUAAAAAGAUUCAUCAUAAUACCUUUUCAGAUACUUUUGUGCCACUCAUUGUCAACAAUUCUGGGGCCAUCCAUGGAAGAGUUCCUCUCAUUCCACCAGAAACCAUGGUGGCUUGUUUCAUCUUUGAUAAACCAAAAUCGGCAACCUGCAGUCAUUAUUUCUCUAUUAUGCCCUUCAUUUAUAUGCAGAAGUCCGUCAUAUGUAUUUCAUAAAUGUGUAUCAUUUUGCUUCACCCAUUUGCAUUUCAUAUUUAAAAUUAAGAAAAUACAUAUGGUAUUUUUUUUGCGGGGUAAUACGUAUGGUAUUUGAAUACUGGUGUUGUGGCAUACCUUGCAUAUGGGACGAGAGGGAUCCUUAACAUUCACUAGCAAGUUAUCGCAUUUCAGAUCGAAAUGGACAAUGUCCUUGGAGUGCAAAUAUUCCAUUCCAAUGGCGGCAUCCAUUGCAACAAGUACCCUCUUGCGCCAAUCGAGAUAUUUGUCCUUGCGACUGAGUACUUUCUUCAGAGAUCCAUUGACCAUGAAUUCUGUUACAGUAGCUAAUGUCCCCCCUGGCCCAUUAUUCACAACCCCGUAAAGUGCCAGAAUAUUCGGAUGGUGAAGUUUUGAGAUGAUAGCAGCCUCUCUCCAAAAUUCUGUUAUCUGCAUGAUAUUAUAUGUUUAAUGAUGGAUAUAUGCUGCAUUUCUGGCUUUCAACCCUUUGCAUUUUUCUAAAAGGGAUUAAGUUUUGUUCAGUUUGCUCUCUACUACUCCAGUUUUUAACAGAUGCAAUUGGUAUGGCUUACCAGUUUAUCUGCCUGUGAUGAUUGGUAUGAAAAACAGCUGUUGUUUAUCCGUUUAAUGGCAACAUCUGUUCCCCUCCAUUUUCCAUGAAAAACAGUUCCAAAUGCUCCGGCACCCAUCUCACGGAGAUCUUCGAGGUCAUCGUUGCUUAUUAUCUGCCAUUUGUAUGACAUCAACUUUAGGAAGAAGUCCUUGUAUAAUGAAAAAGGUAGGAAAUGUGUGCGAAUGAUAUUCAUUGAUAAAUGCCUUGCUUAUUGCUCUGACACAAAAUUUCCUAUGUCACAGACUACUGCAUGUGAAGUUAAUUACAAACCUGGACAUUACUCAUAAGAUCUCUGCCCAACACUGCAUUUGCAGGCAGAGAUUUUUCACUGCUCUUGGUUUCACGUAGCUGAGAGUAGAAGACAAGUCAGAAGUUAUACGGUGAAUCGUUUUCAUCAUAUUGUACCAUUUGAAACAUGGGGUGCAGAUAUGAUGACAUACCUCAGCCUCUGGGAUUGAUGGUGCAGCAUUUUCUUCAGCUUCAUGCAAUGGAGCUCUGAUUUGAGGAUUAAUGAUGCCAGUGCCAACCGAGCGAAAUCGAGUGAUUUCUGAUGAAUGCUCAUCUGUUGUUGGACUGCUGGGUCGUUCUUGUAUUGUAUCACUCGAAGCACGUACAAGAGUAUUUGGUUGCAGAUUUAUCCUUUUGUCUAAAGGUGUAGAAGCAAAAGGAAGUACCGAUGUUGCAGGACCUGCAGGUUGGUUCUUCUGGAUGCUGUUGGUUGGAACUGACCUCUCCGGAUACUGCAAGUUUGCACUGACGUUGCCGCCAGGACUAGUGGAUUCAUGACUAGGUUCAGAUAUCUCCAUCCUGUUGUGCGGCUGGAAAUUAGUGUUCUUCCUUAGUGAAUUUGAUGGCUGCGUCGUCACACUACUGUUGUCCAAUGGUAUCUGAAGCUGUUUCCUUGGUGAUAUUUUUUCCUGUGCCCCAGUAGUUCUGUAAGUGUCUGUGGUAGUCUGUUGAUGCUGCACCGUGGAUUCAGAAGGCGCAGAUGCACCAGGGGAAGCUUUACUAGUCUUUCUGGCUGCAGAGAUCAUGCUAUCUUCGUUACCUUGUGCCUUAUAAUACUGGUUGAUCAUCCGUCUCUGGGUACUUGGGGGAGUCCUCUCCAGCUGACCACCUGCUAUCACUGGCGGUACCGCGAUGCUCUGCAAGGGCUUGCUUUUGAUGGGCACUGAAGCUUCCUCUGUUCUGCCUGCCGGCGGCCCUGCUUCCACACCGAUGCCAAACAUCAGCUGGUCCAGGUCAUUGGCCGAGGAUCUACCGAUGCUGUGUGCUCUCAGCUCAUAACCUGGUGUGGUGAUGAUCCCAUUGACAAGAGCGAUGAACUGCGCCUCUUUCUCGGCAUCGGAUGAGCCUUGUACCACGAAACGCAUGUGGCGCUCAUCGUCCUUGCGAGAGAAGAGGUACAUGUUGAUCAUUUCUCUGUUUUCCUCUAGCACAAUGCACUCAUCAAUCAUAUGCCGGAGGUCAUCAUCGGAGGUGAUGGAGAUGAGCAUGCUCAGUUGCUCCCCUGGUAGGUGGUACUUUAUUGUGUGGGCUCUCCUUAUUAGCCUUGUUGUCUUGCUGACCAACUCUUGCCAAGAAAUGUCCCGGCUAAUUUUCAUCAGAUGCCUGUCACCACCGAUGUACCGGAGCUCGCCGUCGCUUGGCCUUGGCAAGAAAGUGCCACCGAAGUUGCAGAUAAGCUUUACCUUCAUUGAUUUAACAUCGUAGUAAUCUCGAGGGAGCUGUCUGCUGGUGAAACUCAGUGGACCAGAUGUUGGCGGAUUCUUUGGUCCUUUCAGGUCAGAAAUGUUAAAUUGUUCCACCCAGUCCAUGUUGCUGGUGUGGUGCUGUUCUCCUUGACGGUAAUCAGAACGAUGGACUACUUGUGUUUGCUCUCUCUUGCAUAAAUUCAGAAGAAAUUUCUCACCAAUCUGUCAGAACUAGCUCAGUACAUGGCGUUGGUCCUAUUUUACCAAGAACUUUAUAGACCUAGGAUAUACAGUCUGUCAGAAUAAAUUUCUCCUUUUAUUUGUGUUAUAACUUAUAAGAAUCUGAGGCGGUUAAAACUAAGAUAUGCAAAGAUUACAUAAGCUCAAGAGAAAAGGAACCCACAAUUAAACGAGAAGAAAGGUAACUAACCUGUAGAGAGUUCAGGCUUCUACUGGGACUCAAAACUUCAUGGUUGCCAACAGCUUCAUAUUUUUGCCUCAGUGCCAGUGGUGUUUGAGAUACUAAUAUGACGAACAGGUGAGUGGAUUCAGGUAUAGAAAGAUUGUUUCUGAGGGAAGUUGGAUUGGAGUUGGUGAGUUGCUGACUCACCUUUGAAGCAAUGAGUGGAUGGUGUCUGCAACACCUACGUUUUGUUACUAACAAUAUUUGUCAUGUGGACUGUUGAACAAGAUUCCAUCAUCAGCUGCCACUUAACCUGGGGCAAGGGGCGGCCCCUGAAACCUUUGUUGUCGUUGUCAAAUGGCAACAGGAUAUGAACCAUCGUCACUAUAUGGCCGCCCAUAGCCCAGUUGCAUUUGUCAUUUUGUUUCUUCUUCUUCUUUAAAAUGGGGCCGUCCCUGCUGAAACUUGGCUUCCGGUUGUUGAUAACAUAUUUAUUAUCAAAUACGCAUGUUGCAGCUGCAGGCGAGGAGUGGCUGUCAUGCAUUGGUAUUCUAUAAGGUUGAAAGCUUGAACGUUUCUUUCCCAGGUAAAAGUAAUGUUUCUGGUUGACCUAUGACUUUUUUACCAACAGUCUCAACAUUUGUUCUCCUUUCACUUUUGUAUCGAUUGUGUUAUCUUGGACGUAGUUUUCUUCGUUGUUACUUUGUUAGCUAACUAAGAAUGGAAGAAUGGUACUCCUCCUUUGGCUGCUUUGCUCCAUUCUUUUACGGUAGAUGAUUAUCACAUUAAAUACGCGAUUCCACUGCCAUCUCUUGGGAUUCCUUUCGUACUAUGUUAUUUGCUCCAAAAGGCGUUACCUGAGGAAUAUCGACAAAAAGAGGUGCGUGAGCGCGGUAAAAUCUUCUUGGCCCAUUAGGUCCACUUUUGUAUCGUUUGUGUUAUCUUCGACGUAGUUUUCUUCGUUGUUACUUUGUUAGCUAACUAAGAAUGGAAGAAUGGUACUCCUCCUUUGGCUGCUUUGCUCCAUUCUUUUACGGUAGAUGAUUAUUAUAUUAAAUACGUGAUUCCACUGCCAUUUCUUGGGAUUCCUUUCGUACUAUGUUACUCCCUCCGUUCCUUGAUAUAAGGUGUAUAGAUUUUUUUUAAAAAGUUCAAAAUAUAAGGUGUCUUGCGUUGCACCACUCUUUUGAAUAAUUUUUUAGGGAUUUGAUUACAUUUACUUAUAUUAGGCAAACUCCUCUAUUUUCUCAUGUCAAUUAGUCAGGUGUAAUCUCGCCCAAAACUUGUGAAAUUUUCACUCCACGUGCGUUCUUUAAUUUUCGUGCCAAAAACUAUACACCCUAUAUUUAGGAACGGAGGGAGUAUUUGGUAAAAUCUCACAAAGCCUACCAUGUUGGCACAAAAUAACUGUCAAAAUCAUCACAUAAUUUGGACCCAUCGGCAAGGUGUAGGAUCGAUUUCCCCAUUGGUCACCGCACCAUUGAUGUCGAGUAGGUUAUGGACGAACAGACGAAGCUGGUAAUUGAGGCAGCAUCACUGAUAGUUGUGAUUCAUGCAUGGCUUAUGUUGAUCCACAAGAGAGUUGUUCGUCGCAGUGACAAGCCUGUUAUCUGUUAUGCUCCAAUGUUAACCCGGGAUCAAGAAAGGAUAACAAAUCUGAACUACAUCUACAACUGAAGUGAAACAAAGGCUUUGUGGAUACUAAGAAUGAAAAGAGCACCUUUAGCCAGGCUUGUGCAAACCUUCAGGAGUAGGGGGCUGCUACAAGAUAGCAUUCACACCUAUGUGGAAGAGGAAGUUGCCAUGUUUCUCCAUGUUGUCGGUCGUAACCAGAGGUUCAGGGUUCCACAACACGUUCAGGAGAUCAAUGGAGACCAUUUCCAGGUACUUCAGGCAAGUGUUGUAUGCUCAUGGGUAACUUGGAGGAAAGAUGAUCAGGUCACCAACCGUCCGGACUCCUAGCAAGAUUCGCACUAGCCCAAGAUGGUAUCCAUAUUUCAAGGUGAGCACUAACAAUAUGUAGUUCAUGCCUUGACAUGCUUCUAUUAUUAUGCUAUAGCCAUAACACAAUCUUGUAAUGCCAUUUCAGGGUUGCAUUGGGGCAAUAGAUGGUACUCAAGUCACUGCUAGAGUGCCCAGGUCAUAGUUUGCAACAUACAGGGGGAGAAAGCACUACACAAGUCGGAAUAUUCUUGCUGAUGUUGACUUCGAUCUGAAGUUCACAUAUGUGUUGGCUGUCUGGGAAGGACCAACACAUGAUGCUAACAUUCCAAGUUACAACAUGACUAGACCUGAUGACAUUAAUAUCCCCGAUGGCAAGUUCUACCUAGGAGAUGCUGGCUAUGCAUGUCGGCCAGGUGUUCUUCCACCCUUGAGGAAAACCAGGUGCCAUCUGAAUGAGUUCUUUGGUAGGAACUAUCCUAGGACUCCAUAGGAAUUGUUUAAUACCAGACACUCCUGUUGGGAAACGUUGCAUGGAAAACAAAAAAAAAUUACGCACACGCAAGAUCUAUCCAUGGAGAUGCAUAGCAACGAGAGGGGAGAGUGUGUCUACGUAUCCUCGUAGACCGUAACCGAAAGCGUUUAGUAACGCAGUUGAUGUAAUCGAACUUCUUCGCGAUCCAACCGAUCGAGUACCGAACGUACGCCACCUCCGUGUUCAGCACGCGUUCAGCUCGGUGACGUCCUCCGCCUUCUUGAUCCAGCAAGACGGCGAGGUAGAGGAUGAGUUUCGGCAGCACGACGACGUGGUGACGGUGAUGAUGAAGUGAUCUCCGCAGGGCUUCGCCUAAGCACUACGAAAAUAUGAUCGAGGAUGUAAACGGUGGAGGGAGACGCUGCACACGGCUAAGCAAUUGUUCUAGGUGUGCUAGGCGCCCCUCCCACAUAUAUAUAUAUAUAGGUGGGAAGGAGAGGGAGAGGCCAAGGGGCACCCCAAGUAAGCCCGAAUCCUACUUGGGCUUGCCCUAGGCCGCCCCCUUUCCUUCUUUUGGCGUCAAUGGGAAGGAAGGAGGAGGUGCCCCCCUUCCUUUCUCCCACAAGGGGGGGAAGGCAGGAGGAGGUGGCCCCCCUUUCCUUCUUUUAGGGCCGGCGGCCAGGGAGAGGGCGCGCCAGCCCCUCUGUGGGCUGGUAUGCGCCUCUCCUUGGCCCAUUAGGCCCAUAGACCUCCCGGAACCCCUUCCGGUGAUCCGAUGACUACUCGGUGCACUCCAAAACUAUUCUGGUGUCCGAAUACUGCCGUCCUAUAUAUCAAUCUUUACCUCUCGACCAUUUCGAGACUCCUCGUCAUGUCCAUGAUCUCAUUCACGACUCUGAACAACAUUCAGUCACCAAAUCAUAUAACUCAUAUAACACUAUAUCAUCAACGAACGUUAAGUGUGCGGACCCUACGAGUUCGAGAAUUAUGUAGACAUGACCGAGACACCUCUCCGGUCAAUAACCAAUAGCGGAACCUGGAUGCCCAUAUUGGCUCCUACAUAUUCUACGAAGAUCUUUAUCGGUCGAACCGUUAUGACAACAUACGUAAUUCCCUUUGUCCAUCUGUAUGUUACUUGCCCGAGGUUCGAUCGUCAGUAUCUUCAUACCUAGUUCAAUCUCGCUACCGGCAAGUCUUUUUACUCGUUCCGUAAUACAUCAUCUUGCAACUAACUAUUUAGUCACUUUGCUUGCAAGGCUUCUUAUGAUGUGUAUUACCGAGAGGGCCCAGAGAUACCUCUCUGAUACACGGAGUGACAAAUCCUAAUCUCGAUCAAUGCCAACUCAACAAACACCUUCGAAGAUACCUGUAGAGCAUCUUUAUGAUCACCCAGUUACGUUGUGACGGUUGAUAGCACACAUGGUAUUCCUCCGGUAUCCGGGAGUUGCAUAAUCUCAUAGUCGAAGGAAUAUGUAUUUGACAUUAAGAAAGCAAUAGCAAUAAACUGAAUGAUCAUAUGCUAAGCUAAAGGAUGUGUCUUGUCCAUCACAUCAUUCUCCUAAUGAUGUGAUCCCAUUAUCAAAUGACAACUCAUGUCUAUGGUUAGGAAACCUUAACCAUCUUUGAUCAACGAGCUAGUCUAGUAGAGGCUCACUAGGGACACGAGAUUUGUUUAUGUAUCCACACAUGUAUUUAAGUUCUUAGUCAAUAUAAUUAUAGCAUGAAUAAUAAACCUUUAUCAUGAUUUAAGAAAGUAAUAAUAACUAUUUUAUUAUUGCCUCUAGGGCAUAUUUCCAUCAACUCUAGCCUUCGAGUUAUGGUUGAGAGUGCAUUUGGAGCUCUGAAGAAUAGGUUUAAGAUCCUGGAUCAGAAUCCACCGCACACUUUCCCCAUUCAGAUUAAGUUUGUUCUUACUUGUUGCAUUCUGUAUAACUGGACCCUAUAAUGGGGUUGUGCUGAACUGGUGUCGGGGGAGGAAGAGGUGAUGCCUGACGAUGUUGUCAGCUCCGGCCAUGGCGUGGAGGCAUUUGACAACGAAGCUUGAAAGAGCAAAAGGAUGAAGUGGGCACAGUCAAUGUGGGAUAAAAGAGGCCAGACAAGGAUCUGAAGAAGAAGAAGACGAGCAACAGUAGUAGAAGAAGAAGAACUGCGAUUUGUUUCCUAGCUAGGACCGAAACUAUAUCCACACCACUAGUGAGAAAUUGUGAUAGUACCUUAUGCAGUUUGCAACCAAAUACCGUGUAGUUUGUGCACCCAAAGCACCGCAAGAAACCAAACGGGAGGUCAAUAUUUGUUCCCUUGUGCAACCAGCCUAUAUGCGGACAACCAAACUAUAAGUAGAUGCUGGUUUUUGGCCGCUUUAUCUCAGCCAGGCCCAACUGAGGCACACACGCAAAGAGGCAAAAAAAGUGCAGAUAACUAAACACAUCCAAUACAACUCGCCCUAAGCAAAGUGAUUGAAUAGUUUGAUUGUAAAGCCAGAGAUAGGGGAUGGGGCGGGCACAUAUCAAAUCUUACUCAAGAUGAUGCGUCGACUCUGUCUCUCGCAGAUGCUCAUAGGGGAUGGGGUGUGUGUGCGUGCGUUCAAAAAUGUGAGUGUAUGUGCAUAUGUAUGAGCGUGUGUAUUGUGCUAAAAGAAAUGGUACUAUACCCCCGAGUUGGAACAUGAUCUCAGAAUUCAAAAGUAUUGCAUUCCGCUGCCCCGCGGGCACGGCACGGUGUUUUCCAUUACGAUCUCUGGUUUGGCAGCAGCAAACACCAAUUUGGUCUCAGGAGAGUCUCUCCUCCAGCACCAAACACCAGAACCAGAACGGGCAGCUGCGCACGUUCCCCAAUCCCUCUCCCACCACCCACCUACCCAAAUCCCAGCCUUUCUAAAACCCUAGGCCGCCGCCGCCGUCCAUCGGUCGCACCUCCUUGCAGCGUCCCCGCUCGGGGGGCCGCGACAGCUGGCGGUCCUCCACGGUCCGCAUGGCAUUCCGCGAGGAUGGCUCGUCCAUGGCCAUCGUGGGCGCCACUAGCACGGUGGGGCGGGAGUUCCUGUGCGUCACCACCGAAGCAAAUAUCUCUUUUAAAUGAAAUACCUCGGUUUAAACAAAGGUGAAAUGAGUGUAAAAAUAUCACUCAUCAGGACAUGGAUGUGGGACUAUUUCCUUCGCCAUUGACCUGGGGCUUCACUUCCGUGGCUCAUGGUCGAAGCUUCACUUCUCGGGGCUCACGGCCGGAGCUUCACUUCCCGGUCCGCGAAGAUUUAUACCAGGUUUAACUUUUGUUUAUGUUAAAAAUUUGCCAUGUCCGCUUUUGUUUAAUGAAAUAUGUCAGAAAUGAAAUGAAUGUGUUUCGGUUUAAAUCAUCCGGUUUGCAUGAAAAUCGUUCAGUUUGCUCAAAUUGCAUUUGAAAUGUGUCAGCAUGGUCCGCGGUGGAGAUGCCCUUACUCUCCAUCCUUUAGAAGAUCCAUAAAUGCUAGUGCUUUUUUGAAAUGAAGUUAUGAGUCCGGAAUGCUCGGUGGUUAUCCUCUCCACCUAUGAUUUUAGAAAAAUGUGACCCCAACAAAAACGCAUUUUACAACUCGCCGUAAACAAGUGGUUGAACAAUUUGAUUGUAAAAGCCAAACAUAUCAAACCCGUUAGAAAUUAAUUAAUUAAUCUCUCUGUAAACUAAUAAAUAAUAAAAGAUUGUUUAUACCCCCUCCCUCCAACAGUAUGUGAGAGCGUUUUGGACACUACUAGUUCAUGGAGGAAGUAAAAAAAUUCUUUGCUUAGAGCAACUCUAAUGAGGCGACCCAUUUCAUUCGCGGCCGUCCGUUUGGGUCGGGCGGACAGAAAAGGCGGCACAAUGCGCCGACCCAAACGGACGCGCGUCCGUUUUUCGUCCGCGGGCGACCCAUUUCCGGCUCAUUUUUGAGCCGGAUUUGCGUCGGAGCGGACACGCGACGGACGCGUGCUUGCUCGCCUACUCCUGUCCUCGGGCCCGCUCGUCUGUGGCACAUUGACCUUCCCCCGCCAAUAAGCAACCCUCGCCCCUGCCUCCUCCGUCACCGACGCCGCCGCCCAUUUUGCCGACGACUCUUCCAGCUGCCGCCGCCUCCACAUCCGCCCAGCAACGCCGCCCCUGCCCUCGGUCGCCCGCCGUCGCCGUUUUGCCGCUGGGGAGCAAGCUGGUUCCCCGCCGCUGUUUCCCCUACGCCCAGCCGCCCCGCGACCAAAAAGACGCCUCGCCGCCCCAGCCACAGACGACUGACACGCUCGUCGGACGCCGGCCGGGCAGCUAGCUGGUCUGUGGGCGCCGCGUCUCCCCUCGCCGGCCGUCUCCUUCUUCGACGCCCGCAAGCUGUUCGACAGUUUGCCAAGGUAUGAAAAUGGACUCCGCCGACGAGUUCUUUUUCCAUAAUUUCCUUUGCGACUCCGACGAUUCGUCCGACGACGAGGAGGAGAUAUUGGCUGCUGUGUUGGUCCAUCACCACCUCAACAACCAGUGGCCGUUGUUCCGUGGCUCCAUUCCGGGCCACCUUCCGGCGUUGAAUCGUAACCGGGAGAGCGGGCAUUUCCUUCUCUGGAAGGACUACUUUGAUACAACAAACCCGUUGUUCAAACAUCACAAAUUCCGCCGCCGGUUCCGUAUGAGUAGGCAUGUUUUCAACCGUAUUAGAGAGUGAGUGAUCGGCUAUGAUGACUACUUCGAGUGCAAAGAGGAUGCCGUCGGCAAGAUUGGUUUCUCCUCUUAUCAGAAAUGCACUGCCGUCAUCCGAAUGCUUGCAUACGGAGUGCCCGGUGAUCUCAUUGACGAGUACGUCCGUAUGAGCGAGUCUACAUGCCUAGAGUCCCUGUAUAAGUUUUGCAAGGCUGCGAUUGAUGUGUUUGGCCCUGAGUACUUGAGAGAGCCGACAACUGAAGAUACAACCCGUUUGUUGGCGAUGAAUGCUAGCAGGGGCUUCCCCGGGAUUCUUGGCAGCAUAGACUGCAUGCACUGGGAGUGGAAGAACCGCCCUUCUGCUUGGCAAGGGCAGUAUAAGGGACAUGUCAGGGCUUGCACUGUCAUACUAGAGGCCGUGACGUCUCAAGAUCUCUGGAUAUGGCACUUUUUCUUUGGCAUGGCUGGAUCACACAAUGAUAUCAACGUGCUUCAGCGCCCGCCGGUGUUUGCUAGGCUUGGCGAAGGCAACAGCCCACCGUGAACUUUACUGUCAACGGCCACACCUACGACAAAAGGUAUUAUCUGGGUGACGGUAUCUAUCCUCAGUGGACCACUAUUGUCAAGACAAUACCCAACCCUGUCGGAGAGAAAAGGAAAAGAUUUGCCCAAGAGCAAGAGAGUGCUAGAAAGGAUGUCGAGCGUGCCUUUGGUGUUUGCCCAAGAGCAAGAGAGUGCUAGAAAGGAUGUCGAGCGUGCCUUUGGUGUUUUGCAAUCUCGAUGGGGCAUUGUUCGGUAUCCUGCUAAUACUUGGAGCACGCAGAAACUAUGGGAGGUGAUGACUGCUUGUGUGAUCAUGCACAACAUGAUCGUAGAAGACGAGCGCCCGGAACGUCUGUACGAUCAAGGCUUUCAGUUUCAGGGUGAGAAUGUUGUGCCUGAGCAUGGAGUAGCGGCAACAUUUGAGCAGUUCACUCAGUUUCAUGAGGAUAUGCGUGAUUGAGAAACUCACGUGCAACUGCAAAAUGAUUUGGUUGAGCAUAUGUGGACUCAUGUUGGCACCCAAUAGAUGUAUCUUUUUUAUUCGUUUUGCAAAACUACGUGAAACAUUUUUUAUUUUUAUUUGGCAUGUAAACUAUACUAUUUAUUUAGGCGGACUAUUUUGUUUGUUAAAUUUUCAUUUCACCAUAUGUGAGAAUGCAAUGCAAAAUUGGGCGGCUAGCCGGCCACGCCUGCACAUAUGAGUGCGCGCUGCCGACCCAUAUGAAAAACAGGGCGGACGGCCGAGCCAAACGGACAAAAAGCGGACGAAAUCACCGUCCGUUUGGGGCGGCCAGUUGGAGUUGCUCUUAACCGCUUCAAGUUUAGCGACGGUCAUUGGUUUCCGUCGUCUUUAAUUCGCGUCUAUACAACACACCCCUUGAGCCACAUACACAUAUGGCUCUACAUAUAUAGCGUUUCAUCAUGGCCAAAGAACAACUGUUCCGUCACUUGCUUUUCUCUCUACCAAAACACCAAGUUGGAAGCUUCAAAAGAAAAAGAAAAACACCAAGUUGGAACACGAAUCAUCAAAAUUCAAAAGCAGCAGCCCGCUGUCCCGUGGGCACGGCACACUGUUUCCAGCGUUUGGCAGCAGCAAACACCAAUUUGGCCUCGGGGCCAUUCCCAUUCCCCGAGCACGAAACGCCAGAACGGGCAGCCAGCCAGCACGAUCCCCUCCCCUCCCCACCCAAUCCCCCUCCCACCACCACCCACCUACCCAAAUCCCAGCCGCCCUAAAACCCUAGGCCGCCAAACCCGCCGCCGCCGCCGCCGCAAUGCAGGCCGCCGCAGCCGUCCACCGGCCGCACCUCCUCGCGGCGUCCCCGCUCGGGGGCCGCGCCAGCCGCCGGCCCUCCACGGUCCGCAUGGCGCUCCGCGAGGACGGGCCCUCCGUGGCCAUCGUGGGCGCCACCGGCGCGGUGGGGCAGGAGUUCCUCCGCGUCAUCACCGCCCGCGACUUCCCCUACCGCAGCCUGCGCCUCCUCGCCAGCGAGCGCUCCGCGGGCAAGCGCAUCGACUUCGAGGGCCGGGACUACACCGUCCAGGACCUCGCGGCGCCGGGGGCCUUCGACGGGGUCGACAUCGCGCUCUUCAGCGCUGGCGGGAGCAUCAGCCGCGCCCACGCCCCCGCCGCCGUCGCCAGCGGCGCCGUCGUCGUGGAUAACAGCUCCGCCUACCGGAUGGACCCCGACGUGCCGCUCGUCAUCCCGGAGGUUAACCCCGAGGCCAUGGCCGACGUCCGGCUCGGGAAAGGGGCUAUUGUGGCCAACCCCAACUGUUCCACCAUCAUCUGCCUCAUGGCUGUCACGCCGCUGCAUCGCCACGCCAAGGUACCAUUGCACAUAUGUCGCCUUUCGUUCCCUGCUUUCUAACAGUCACACUAGAAAGUAAUGUUAAAUUAAUUUGGAAAAUGGGAUAGCUGAGACCAAAGAAAACCAAAGUCUUUAAAUUUGAAUCCUGAAAAAAUGACUAGACUCAUCUUUGAAUUAGAGAUGCUUCUUCAUAGUUCAUAGGAAUAUUUAAUUCCAUAUAUUUCAUUGCAUUUCUCCUAAUUGUGAUGCCUUUUAAGCUAUGAACAUUGCAAUUUGAUAGAUACGAGUACUUAAUACAGUAGUUUUUUGUGAUUUAUGUUAAGCCUGUCAAUAGGGACUUUCAUGAUUAGUUAUUCUUAUUUAUGUGUGCCGAUCCGCUUCAUAUAUUAACAUCAUUUUUAUUGUGAGUCGAGUAUUUUGUAAUGUAUAAGUACCGAUAUGUGUCAUGUAAAUGUAUGCUUGUUGGUUGCAUUUCUGGACUGACCAAAUAAAUUGAUGGCAAUCUUUUCAUCGUCAAUGUGGCAGGUGAAAAGGAUGGUUGUCAGCACAUACCAAGCAGCAAGUGGUGCUGGUGCUGCAGCCAUGGAAGAACUCAAACUUCAGACUCGAGAGGUGGGCAUUUCUCCCUUACUAUUUUGCUCGUGGUGCUAAAUCAGUAUAGCUACUGACACUGUAUACUUUAUUUAGGUCUUGGAAGGAAAGCCACCAACCUGUAACAUUUUCAGUCAACAGGUUAUAACUUCAAUACCUUGUGCGCAUGUUGAGUUGAUUUCUUACUGUCAUAAGACAUGCUUAAUUUAUUUUUCCUUCUGCAGUAUGCUUUUAAUAUAUUUUCGCAUAAUGCACCUAUUGUUGAAAAUGGCUAUAAUGAGGAAGAGAUGAAAAUGGUGAAGGAGACCAGAAAAAUCUGGGUAAGUGGAAGCUUGAUCAAUGCCCCAUAGGUUCUUUGCAUUACUCCAUCAAACUUUUCUCUUAAGUUGGCUGUUGAGCAAACAGAAAUGCCAUACUAACUCUCUGCUCUGUUUCUAGAAUGACAAGGAUGUAAGAGUAACUGCAACUUGUAUACGGGUUCCUACGAUGCGCGCGCAUGCCGAAAGCGUGAAUCUACAGUUUGAAAAGCCACUUGAUGAGGUUAGCAUACUGUAAUUGUGUUACGUAUCAGUUAGUACGUAGAAUUCUUUCCUGAAUUGUUACAAUCUCAGGUCCUGAGUCACUGGGUAAAAAUAUGUUUAUUGGCCUAGCAUGGCUUUGUUUUCCUUGUUUUCGGCAAGUAGAAUUGUAAACGGUUUCUUGUGGAACUUGUCUGUUGUCAUUGUUGGGUAGGUCAUUUAAUUAACUUUUGACACUUAAUACAAUUUCCAUUUCUUGUCCCAUGUAAACAAAGAACACACCUUAUUAGAUGAUCCUCUGUUCUUCUUCAUGAUGUAUUAGCUGUUCAAAUUCUGAAAUUGUUUGCAUAUGUUCUUGAAGGACACUGCCAGAGAAAUCUUGAGGGCAGCUCCUGGUGUUACCAUUAGUGACGACCGUGCUGCCAACCGCUUCCCUACACCACUGGAGGUAAUUGGGCAGUUUAAUUUUCUGAAGAUGAACAUAUUUGGAGCGGCGAUUUGUUUGUUUUUAUUCACGUACAUUCCACUCAUGAGAUUCCUUGUGAUCUACUCCCUCCGUUCCGAAUUACUUGUCGUAGGUAUGGAUGUAUCUAGACGUAUUUUAGUUCUAGAUACAUCCAUUUCCGAGACAAGUAAUUCCAAACGGAGGGAGUAGAAGACAGGAGAUUUGUUAUUUACUAACUAUAUGCUGCACACUCCACCCUUUCACGAAGCUACACUAGCCUGUUACUUGUUAGAAAAGUAGAGCAGAUUUUCUUUAAUUCUGAUAGAACUCUAAUUUUCAGGUAUCGGAUAAAGAUGACGUAUCAGUUGGUAGGAUUCGCCAGGACUUGUCACAAGAUGAUAACAGAGGGUACACUCACGUUUUACACUUACUGUUGUAAUCAUCUGUUUGUUAUGCAUCGCUUGCACUUAAAAUGUUCCUGUAUACCGGAACCUAAUCAGCUCCUCAAUGGCAGGUUGGAGUUAUUUGUCUGUGGAGACCAGAUACGUAAAGGCGCCGCGCUGAACGCUGUGCAGAUUGCUGAAAUGCUACUGAAGUGACCGCCUUUUUACCAUUGUCUCAUGUGCCACGUUGCUCUAUCCAUUGAUGGAUUGAUGUACUCUAGUCACUUUCAACCCAGUUUUGGUCGUCUGUCUUUUUUGUAAUCUGUCAACCUAGCAGAAGUGUAAGACGGGCUUUAGUCAUCUGUUGCACACAAAAGUGCAGCCACAAGUUUAGAAAAGGAGGGUUUUCACUUGUUCGGAUUUUGCCUUAGGUUGGUCUUUGUUGCAAGUUUGUCGUUUGUUUCUUGAAAGCUGGUCUGCUGUAACUUUACCCCCAAAGCCCUCGAGAUAACGAGGCCUCCUGUGGGGACCUAUAUGAAGGGCAACGUGUGUACCAUGCAACAAAUCGUUGGGCUAAAUGCUGUAACUUUUGAGGUGCAAAACCAAGGUCCGCUGUAACCUUUGCCCUGAAAGCCCCGAAAUAAAGAGGCGCCUUGUGAAAUCUAUAUGAAUUGCUUUGUGUGCCAUGUACGACUAAGUGUCGGAGCCAAAAGCUUGCACCGAACCUAUUGGAUGCAAACUGGGGGCUAUGAUUUCAGUGAUUUUGAAGCGGUUUAGAUGAUGAAGGUGCUAAAAUAGCUCUCACAUGUGGUUCGAUGCAUGUGCUUGCAUGUACCUUGUUUGAUUCAUGAACAGAAGCCUGGCCAGAUCAGAAGUUCUCACCAGGAGCGCCAUGUUACAUCAACUAAAACGUACAAGGACCCCGAUAGCUGGCGAACGCUCGCCAGCAGGGGAUGACAUUUGCGAACGAACGCUCGCCAGCAGGGGAUGACAUUUGCGAACGAUUUGGAUGGCAGUUUUAGUUGGAGUAAUGCUACACGUAUAAACGAGUUACAAGGUUUUACAAAAAGGGUUAAUUUGAUUGGUCAAUAGAUGGGGAGGCGGCCCAUCCCCCUGAAAAUCAGGGGGGAGGCAAGUUUGUGAUUGGUUAGUAGAUGGAAAAAAUCCUAGUCAGCGUAUAAUUGCGUGUAACUUUUUGUAUGUUUAGCAUUAUUGUUUUAGUUGUAGAGGAGGGGACGGCAUUUGCGAACGAUUUGGGUGGCAGUUUUAGUUGUAGAGGUGUGGCAACUUUAGUUGUAGGGGUUGACAGUUUUUAUUUUGUGAAGGUAUUCUUUUUGUGAAAACCGACACUGUUUGAUCCCGAUCAAAUGGCUGGGUUCGCUGGGACUUUACUCCCAGUGAACGGCAGCCAUUUAACAUUAUACCAAACCUACAAAGGAUAUAUUAUCACCACUUGACAGUAAAAUUUCCAGGGGUUGGCUUUUGUACCGGCAGGAGGAGAAUCGGGAGCAAUCAAAAGCUGGAUCCCACAUCUUUCCCAGUGCUGACCAUGGAAACUUUCACUGCAUCAAACUCAGAACACACAUCAAUUCUUUUCUUUUUUGUGUGUGAAAACAAACGCAUCAAUUCGAGAAUCAAUUGCAGCGCAGUUUGCUGCUGGCCUGGAAUGGGCCCAGGGUGGCCUGCCACUCUACCAGAUAUACACUCUGUUGCAAAACCAUUGCCUGGUGUAACCUUGGCUCUCGAGGGUAGGAGGUUGGAGGCACAUGAGGCAAUUUAACCAUAACAACAAGAUGUUGGAGCUAAAAACUUUCACUGAGCCUCGCCUCGCAUCCGCUUCCAAUUCUCAUCACACACAAUCAACCGUCUGAAGCAACCACCGUACCGGCUGCAACUUUUUUAACUGUAUAAACAGUGCAAAUGUAUUAAAAUGUUACGACUACAAACUCAAAUCACCAUCAGACGAAAUGUUCAUUGUCCCACGCAAACGAACCCAAACAAAUUUUUUCAUGCAUGCCAUCAACCCUUGAACCUAACACUACGGCUGACGUUCGGAUUAAUGCCAGACAUUUCUCCUCCGUAUGGACCGGAGGCCUUCUUCACGCCAUGCCCCUGACUUCUCCACUUAAGUCCCUGUUUCUCACUCUUAGCCCUGUAUUUCUUCCGUGGGUUCUUGAGCUUCCUGUUUCUGGAGCGAGUCAGCCCUCGGUUUUUCUCGAUCUGGCGCGAGAUCCCCCUCCUCUUGCCAUCUCCUUCGCCUUCUUCUGCCAACGGCCCGGUGAUAGGGGCGCUCUGUUCUUUGCGCAAGCGCUUUUCGGUCCUCUGCCUUUUGACAUCUUUGUAGAAUUCAUCUUCAGACUCCGACGCUUCAUCAUCAUUGCCCUUGUUGUCUCCACGUGUAUUGGUUCCUACCCGAGCAAGAACACGUAGUUCGUGUUUUCGACGUCUUUCACCAAUCUCAUCUCGCUUUGAAAUGUCAUCAUCACCAGAAACAGACUUGAACUGAUGGCCAGAAGAGGGGGGAAAAAGGUUAGGAAUAGCUACAGCCAUUAUAACAACAAAUAUAAGUAUAUAACGACAAUGGAAAGAACACAGAAAUCGAUAGACAAAGCACAAGAACUUGUUUAAAGGGUUGAUCUAGCUUUGCAUAUGAGCAAUAGUCAACAAUUAUAAAUUCAUCAAGUAUUUCAGAAGAUAUCUUUGGUAAGACAAGGGUUACAAGGUUUGCGUUCUAAGAACAACACUUAUAUGCACUUGAUAGCAUAAGUCAUUCUAUUAACAUGACAGAUAAUAUAGCACAAAGGCUGUUCUGGAACAGCAGAGCAGAAAGAUUACAAACUCUAACAAAGCAGCAAGAUUCAAGCAUGACCCAACAUUUUGACCCCAAAAAUGACCAGCAUCGUUGGCUAGUUCAUAUUUAUUGAAACAAAUGUUGAUAGGAAUGCGGAGAUGUGGUGCCAAGGUUUUUAAAGCUGGAACGCAAGCAUAGCUAGUGUCCCUGAGUGUAGCACAAUUCAUUAUUGAUAUGUUUUACCAACAAUGGUACUCAUUCCAAUAAUUACCAUGUCCUAUUAUAUUAUCAAAAUUCUAAUUCCCUUUUGCAGAGUAAGAAAAGUCCCAGUGCACCCGAGAAACCUUGGAAUCAAUAUUUAAAACACACCAGCAACUCCAAAAUCACUUAAUAAUCCUCAAAAUUCGCUAACAUUCUGGAUACAAUGAUAAUUCAAAUAAUGUAUAGUAUGUGGUGGUUGAUAAUAUCUGUAACAUGGCUGGGUGUAAGGAUGUAGUAUCAAUUCAGUUAAGGUUCUAUCAAAUUAGCAUAAGUAACAGCACGUAUGCAGAAAAUCAGCCCACUUUUGGCAACAACAAAAAAGAACAAUAAAACAUUUGAGGUCAAUACUUGGAUACUUCAAACUGUGUGUCCUGAUGAAACAAACAACUUGACAAGGAGCCAAAGUAGACCAGAAGACUGCAGGUUUUGUUAUCUCAGUGAGACUUCAGAUUUAGCAAGAAUGUAGGUUUCUAUCAAAUUACCCCCUUGCAGAAAAAAUGUGACAAAAGGAAAGUGGCAAUGUUAAAAAAUCGUAGAUUACCAACUAAAAAUGUAACAGAUAUCAACUUGGUCGAGAUCAGAAUGAUUCUCUAAUGUAGUGUUCAACUGAAUACUAGCAAGAAUCUACAGCAAGAAACAUAUGGUCAUUGAAAUUUCGGUCCUACAUGACAGUAUGUGUACUUGCCUGUGUAGUUUUGUAGUUAUGAACUUGUAAUUUGCACCAUAUGCAUAAAAGACUAGUUAAUUAAGGGCAGUUUGGAUCAUUAUCACAAGACAUUUAGAUUUCGCGCAAGUUAAAAAAAUAGCUAGUUAUGAAGGUACCCAGCAAAAAUAAGAAACCUGCAUGAAAAUACCCCAUACCUUGUUUCUAUUUGAGCCAGUGGCAUUCACCAGAAGCUUUCUAGGUUUGAUCACUUGACUAUUUUUCUGCACUUCAUCAUCAAAGUCAUCCAAUGUCUGCAGGUUUAUCCUAGUAUUGGUUGCCCUGGUUUUUGACAACUUUGGCUUCAACCCUUGUUCCUUCAACCCCUUCUCAGCCCUUUUUCCUUCAUCCUUGCUCUUCCUUUUGGCAAUUUCAUGGUGCCCAUUAGAAGGCCCAUUCUUUGUCAAUUUGGCUGCUUCAGCACCCCGUUUUACUUUGUCCAGAACCAGUAAAUUGCUAGAUUUGCCCUCGUCAUCAUCACUUUCAUCAUCGUCGUCUAAUCUGAAAUAUUUCACUGACAGCUUACUGUUCUUCUCUACUUGUAUCCUCCUUAUCUCUUCACAGUCAACAUCAUCAGCAUCAUGCUCAUCGCCAUCAUAGUAUAAUGUAUUUCCGCUACCCCAAUCAAAUUCACCCGAACUAUCAUCACCGGCAAAAAUUUGUUGGAUUGCCUUGUUCGCUCUCUUGAUUCUUGCCAUAUAUAUUUUGUCCCAUACCUCGUAACUAUCUGCGCCCGCGUCGCGGUGCUUACCUCCUUCGCUGUCAUCACUUCCAUCGCCGUCCUUGCCUUCUUCGCCAUUAUCAGUUUCAUGGCCGGAAACACCCUCGAGAUCGUUGACAGGCUGCACCGGAUCCUCCUUCUCUGGAUGAAUCGAGUCGUCGGCGUCGAGGGGGAUGGCGUCCCGCUGCUUGGGGAAGGCGUCAAUCUCGUCGCCGUCAGAGUCGGACAUCGCCGCCGCCUUGCUGGAUCGCUUGGACUGCUGUGUGUCCGCCGCGGGUGGCAGCCGUGUCGACCUCAGCCUCUUCCCCAUGUUGGGUGGCGGCAGGAGUAUCGAGGAGUCGGGGUGGGGGAGGAAGCGCUGCGCACAGGCGAAGAGGCUGGUUCAGGGUUAGGGUAUCUCUAGCCCAUCGGGAUUUUAAUUUUUUUUUUGAGAAUUAGCGCCUCAUUUCAUAUAGUUUUCUGGUAAAAAAAAGCUUUUCAUUGUCCAAUUUUUUCACACUAGCUAUCGGCGCAUUCAUGGUGUAGCAAUCCGUGUCCUAGCCGAUUAGCCCCGUUGCAGUUAUAAAACCCACCCCAGCAGCUCUCAAAGCCUAUUCCAUCCAAACCCCAUUCUCAUGAACGUCAACCCGAUUCUCCCUACCGCCGAAAUCGAGCUUGAGCUCUUCGUUGCAGCAAGGAGAACCGCCAUCACCGCCGGCCCCGAUUUGCCCCAUCCACGUUGUUGCUUGCCUCCUCGACUCCCUACUACGUGUCUCCGUCCCCGAGCUUCACCACCGCCACUCCGAUGCCCUCCUUCGUCGCCGACCCCUUCUUUCGUCCUCAGGCACCACCGUCGGCCCCAGCGCCGACCCCCUCAUCCAUCCUUGAGCACCACUGUCGUCCCCAUCGCCGACCCCCUCCUUCGUCCUCGAGCACCACCGCCGCCCCCAUCCCCGGCCGAUGCUGCCAUGGCGCGUUGACGCAUGACUUGGUAUGCGCAGUUCAUAACAGCGUGGUGCACCCAAAUCAUGAAGAAGCAACACACCAGCGAGGCUUGAUGAGAAGGGCGCAUUGCAGUUGGCCUUCCUUCAAGCUCGGACAAGGACAAGGAGGGGCAAGCCCCGAGCUCGGAUAAGGUGGCGCCCGUUUUUGAUUGGGCCAAGGCUUUGAACCCCAUUUGGCUGAAUGAGGUGGUGGUUUCAUACAUGGCGUUUGGUUAAGGCUGUGAUGAUGCAAUUACCUGGCAUUUGCUUUCUCAUGACCUAAUGUUGUUGUCACCCCAUCUCAGUAGUGGCGACCUUAUCACAAACUACACUACAAGCGGUAGCAAUUUAACAUCAUUUCAGUCCUAACCACCGAAUAAAUGACAAUUCAUCCUAAUAGACCUAGAUACUACUCCCUCCGUUCCUAAAUAUUUGUCUUUCUAGAGAUUUUAAAUGGUCACUACAUACGGAUGUAUAUAGACAUAUUUUAGAGUGUAGAUUCAUUCAUUUUGCUCCGUAUGUAGUCACCAUUUGAAACCUCUAGAAAGACAAAUAUUUAGGAACGGAGGGAGUAACAAAUAGCAGUACCAAAUUAACAGUCAUAUGGAUGGGGGGAAGGGUGGUUUAUCAAUGGCGAUCAAGGGGGAAGAUCAGCAUUCUCCUCCUCCUCCUCUUCUUUAGAUCCUUUUGUUGUCUCUAUUAUCCCACAUUGCCUCAACCCACUCCAAUCUUUUUCUCUUCCAAGCUUCAUUAUCAUGUGCCUCCAUACCAUGGCCGAAGUCAAUAUCAUCAACCAUCACAUCAUCUUCAUCUGGCACAUACUCAUCAAGACCCCUCUCUAGGAUCGAGUUAUGAAGAACGCAACAUGAAAAAAUAAGUUUAACUUGGGUGGGAAAAUGGUGGAAUGGCUAUCAAGAAUCUUAGCUAUAUUAUUCAAAGCACCAAAUGCCCUCUCAACUAUAAUUCUAAGGCUAGAGUGCCCGAGAUUGUAUAGUCCGUUGAUAGUCUUAGAAUAGCUCCUUGUAGAGAAUUCAUUAAGAUGAUACCUGAUUUUCUUCAAGGUUGGAAGAACCACAUGCCGACAUGCAUAUCCAAUAUCUCCUAGGUAGAAUUACCACCCGGGAUAUUGAUCCCAUCAGAUCGAGCCAUGCUGUCAGCAGGAAUGUUUGCAUCAUAGGAUGGCCAUUCCCAACCAACUAACACAUAUGUGAAUUGAGAUCAAAAUCAACAUCAGCAAGCACACUCUGGCUUCUGUAGUGAUUUUCCCCUGUAUGAUGUAGUAUGUGACCUUGGCGCUCUAGCAGUCACAUGAAUAUCAUCAGUUGCUCUAAUACAAUCCCGUGAUGGCAUGAACAAACUGGUAUGGUUCGCAACAAUACGAUCAUGUCAUGGCAUGAGCUAACAAUUAGUAUUGAUCACCUUGAAAUAUGGAUACUAGCGAUAUCUCGCUUGCAUCUCGAAGGAGUUUUACUAGUAGGUACUUUGAUCAUCUCACCUCUGAGCUCUCCAACCUCAUGCAAGACUUGCUUGAAAUACUAGAAAAUUGUCUCAUUGAAUCUUCCGAAUGUGUUGUGAAUCAACCUAGACCUCUUGUUAUGACUCGCGACAUGAAAGGGCAUUGCUACUUGGAAGCGACUUUUCGGUGGACGGCGGCUCGUGUGGACUGUAUCGGAGCCGUCGAACGAUUCCUGGAGAUGCACAAACAUCACUUCCCUGUCCCCCCGGUUCGAUCUCCUAGUAAUAGGGAAUAGGUGGCAUAGGCGUAUGGAUUUGGCACAAUUGUUUCGGGCCUUUGGAGCUGGACUAGUGAACUGCGCGAGCUGGUGCACAUGCCGCCGCAUAGGAAGGAGCAGUUGAUGACUUGACCUGGUGAUGUAGCCGGACGGGUGGUGGGCCAUAACGUAGAAACUUUUUGCACGUCGGGACGUGACAAAAAGUGACCCUGCCAUCUUUCCAUCAUGCACAGUGCGCCUCUCUCUUGCAAUUACUGCAUCCAGGUUCGCUAAUCAAAUAUACUUGGUUAGUUUAAUGUGCCGGGUAAAAGAAGAUUCAUAAAAUCUAAAAACAGUACUUUCAAAUGGACGGAUGCAUUGGAUCCUUUUUUUUCAAAUGAUUCGAAAAUCAUAUUUCAAAGUAAAAAAAACUGCAAAAACUUAUACAUAUUCAUGAUGAUCUGUGAAAUUGCAUUCAAACAAAGUAUGAUUGCAAGUUGUACAAAAAAACAAUUCCGGCUCAACAAUAAAAAAUUUGGCUCAUUUUCAUUUACACAUUUGUUUUUUUGUCUACGUCACGUGUGAAGUUAUAUUGUUAAGGAAAUUUUCUUAAAUGUGGUAUACGUGCAUUUGUGUAUUUCUAAAAGAAUUUGCGUUGCGGAAUUAUUUUGGAAGUCCACCAAUGCACCCAUCCACCAAAAGGCAUUUUUGCCUUCUUACAUACUAGGCUCGAAGAUGGUUUGCGGCAAAAAAACAAAUUUUGAUAAUACAAAAAAUUAUAUAACGGGCUGCACAGUAAUACAUUAAUCUAACAAACUGUGUGAGACUAAUUCUUGUUCAGAGUCCCAAUCAUGAAGAAACUUUUAAUGGCCGUAUGAAAACAGUUUAAAUCAUAGUUCAAGUAAAUACCCUUGAUAGCCAGAUGGUACUAACAAACAAUAUGGUAGUAGUAGUGUUUUAUGUGGUCACGUGUGUGAGCAGUGCAACAAACUGGGGCCCGCGAUCAAACGUGUACUACCAAGGUACAUCGGUCAGCGUCUACUCUGGUGCCUAGAUUCUGUGACAAAAGCUACCUAUGCCGGGCGGAAUACAAGGGCUGGCCGAGCUCUACGGGGGGACAACAUGCCAGAAUACCGGGCAUGAUCGGCUGAAUGGAGAUAAGGGGCGGCCAGGAUAAAGUCCGCAGAGUGCUCGUCCACCAUUAAGCAUUUUCGAUUGCUACUUGCUCUUUCACAUAGGCAUGGAUGCUAUCUUUUAGCAACCCACUCUUCGUAAACGUCCCCACAAGCGUGACAAAAGGGGCACUUCUUACUUGAAGCAUGUUCACAGCCUCUACAUCGCAGUGGCGUACCUAGCGGGUGGGCCAUGGCACACUAGAAUUUUGGGACAUAUUUUUUUACCAUAUAAAAAUUAGCUGAUUUCCAUGGCCCAUCCAAGCCAAUUGAAAUAGAUCUCAUUGUUUUUUAAAAGUGUGCACACACUACAUUUUAUUUCUAGGUCCAUCACUGCUGCAUCGUUACGUUUAUAGAUGUAGUUUUAUUCGUCAAUCUUAUCCUAUAUUGGACUAAAAUUGGAUCAUAGCUGAUCACAUGCCUGGAACGUUGACGAACCGCUCUCUUAUGUACCAACAUUACUUAGGACCGAAUCGCAACUAUGAGUGUUGAUGCUUGAGCUAGUAGCUUCAUCCAUUCGUUCCUAUUGAAAUCGAUGUUGCAGUGAGUAACGGCGAAAUCGAUCCUACACCUUGCCCAACAACCAAACAAUGGUAGGAUGAAGGGUGGUUGUAUGGUGCUUAUCUCCAUGGCAGACGAUGAGGACGAAACGGAGACGACGACGAAGGGGACGAGCAGGCCGUGUAGCUGACGGAGAGUAGCAUGUCCCGAUGCUAGCAGAUCUUGGUCCACACUACCGCCGUUUCAGAGAACUGAGGUUGACUUUGUCCUUUAGCCAGAGGUGAACGAGUAAAGUGGAGUGUGACAACGUAUUUCACGCCAUACAACGGCUGCAGAUUUUCGUCUCGUGCCAGCUCCGUGCGUGCUCCCCAUGUUGUUUCCCUCUUGCGCUCGCCUCAGUCCAGCUCCACGAAAACGAUCGAUUCAAGAAUUCCCAGUGAGCGAGGAUAUGGGGCGCUUUGAGUUUCAUGCGCAUACGGACCAACACCUCACAUGAACAAUCAAAUAUGCUCUUUUUGUAUCCACUGAGCCCGUUUAGAGUUAGUGCGAGCAACAAAACACGCCCUAUACACGUUGUGUAGCGUAGUGCAUCAACGGCAAAUCUCGCGAGGUCAAAAGUUUUCACCCGCAACAGGCCAUUUGGUGCCAAAACCUUAAACAGACCUGCCAAGCUCAGAUUUCAUCCUUCCAGUCAUGCAUUAAUCGUGCUGCCAUCUCGGUAAAUUUUCAAUCAUCCACGGUGAAAAACAGUAACAACACUGGGCGAGUAAAAGUCGUCUCCGGAAGUGCUUCUGUACCGGGACGAGGACAAACAGCCGACACUGGAUCCCACGGCUUUCCCAUCCGAGCUUCACUCCGGUGCCGGCCACGGGAACUCGCACCGCAACAGGCCGAGCAAAGCCAUCAACUCCGCCAUUGAUUGUAGCACAGUUUCAGUCCACUGACUCAGCGAGGGCGGUGGACGAAAUAACUCAAUCCCUGACGCGUCACAUUCAGUUCGUACCGCUGCUUUCAGACGAGGAGUAACUGAACGGAGCAAGGCCCCAUCCCAUCGCGCUCGCUGUCUUGCACCGACGCACAUCGAUCGCGUGCCCCUUUCAUGCUCCCUCCCUCAAACUAUGCUCACACACAACACACCACUCUUGCUCGUUACAUUUACCCAUAGAAAACAGAAAAGAACAAGGAAAUUACUGGACAAACUUUACUGAUGCAUGAUGGUUCAUUAUUACAGCACAGCGACAUUUUUGCCGGCAAACCAGUAGCUAGGCCAGCAUUAUGCAUUAUCAACACACAGUAGGAUCAUGCACCGGACGCUCAAGAUCAUGAUUUACACGCAUAUAAUAUAUAGUGGUGAUCCGCGACAUAGUACGACAUGAUUGAUAGGGAUGCAUGAAGUUCAGGUACAUGCUAGGCAGGCGCCAUCAGCGGCGGAGGGUGGCUGGAGGGUGGUGGUGGAUCAUGGGCACUUGGGCCUCUUGCGCGCGCCGUGGCCGGUGGUCUUGUCGCGGUAGCAGGGGCACUCGUCCUUGUUGCCGGCCGUCCCCGACGGCACGCAGUUGCACUCGGCGCAGCAUAUCCCGCAGUACUUGAGGCAGUCGUCGUGCCGGCUCGCCUUGGAGCACCUCACCCCGCACUUGCCGUCGCAGAACGCUGCUCAAGAGCACACGCACCACCACGGUUAACAUCAACACAGGGAAGGGCCGAAGAACUUCAGCAUAAUGGCGAU